RNAcentral lists this unclassified non-coding RNA (299 nucleotides) under plant metagenome. RNAcentral's name for it is "partial contains 5.8S ribosomal RNA, internal transcribed spacer 2, and large subunit ribosomal RNA". The stretch from base 1 to 105 matches the Rfam family "5.8S ribosomal RNA", at positions 50 to 154 of the family's 154-position model. The record is from RNAcentral.
GAAAUGCGAUAAGUAAUGUGAAUUGCAGAAUUCAGUGAAUCAUCGAAUCUUUGAACGCACAUUGCGCUCGCCAGUAUUCUGGCGAGCAUGCCUGUUCGAGCGUCAUUUCAACCAUCAAGCUCUGCUUGCGUUGGGGAUCCGCAGCUGCCCGCGGUCCCUCAAAAACAGUGGCGGGCUCGCUAGUCACACCGAGCGUAGUAACUCUACAUCGCUAUGGUCGUGCGGCGGGUUCUUGCCGUAAAACCCCCAAUUUCUAAGGUUGACCUCGGAUCGGGUAGGAAUACCCGCUGAACUUAAGC